RNAcentral lists this ribosomal RNA (505 nucleotides) under uncultured bacterium. RNAcentral describes it as "partial 16S ribosomal RNA". It matches the Rfam family "Bacterial small subunit ribosomal RNA", at positions 28 to 507 of the family's 1533-position model. The record is from RNAcentral.
GACGAACGCUGGCGGCGUGCCUAAUACAUGCAAGUAGAACGCACAGUUUAUACCGUAGCUUGCUACACCAUAAACUGUGAGUUGCGAACGGGUGAGUAACGCGUAGGUAACCUGCCUGGUAGCGGGGGAUAACUAUUGGAAACGAUAGCUAAUACCGCAUAAUAUUGAUUAUUGCAUGAUAAUUGAUUGAAAGAUGCUAUUGCAUCACUACCAGAUGGACCUGCGUUGUAUUAGCUAGUAGGUGAGGUAACGGCUCACCUAGGCGACGAUACAUAGCCGACCUGAGAGGGUGAUCGGCCACACUGGGACUGGGACACGGCCCAGACUCCUACGGGAGGCAGCAGUAGGGAAUCUUCGGCAAUGGACGAAAGUCUGACCGAGCAACGCCGCGUGAGUGAAGAAGGUUUUCGGAUCGUAAAGCUCUGUUGUAAGGGAAGAACGGGUGUGAGAGUGGAAAGUUCACACUGUGACGGUACCUUACCAGAAAGGGACGGCUAACUACGUG